RNAcentral lists this transfer RNA (71 nucleotides) under Desmarestia viridis. RNAcentral describes it as "tRNA-Lys". It matches the Rfam family "tRNA". Rfam says of the family: Transfer RNA (tRNA) molecules are approximately 80 nucleotides in length. Lineage: Eukaryota; Phaeophyceae; Desmarestiales; Desmarestiaceae. The record is from RNAcentral.
GUUCUUUUAGUCUAAUGGCCAGGAUAUUGUCGUUUUUUGACAAAGGUGCGGGUUCAAGGCCCGUAGAGGAC